AUGCUCUCUUUCUAAAAUAAAAACAAAAAAACCCAAAUAGGAUGAUCAAAGAAGCUUUCUUUGCCAAGGUGACAUAAGCUAAGAUCUGAAAGAUGUUCAGGAACCUGCUAUUCUAGAAUCUGGACAAAGAACAUACCAGGCAGAGAAGACACAAAGUAUAUAACCCUGAGAUGAGAAAAAGUCACCGGAAUUUUGACAGAGACUGCUUUGGGUAGUAUGGACAUUUUACCAAUAUUAAGUCUUCUGAUCCAUGAACACAAGGUUGACCCUGAUGUGGAAUGCAGGCUCAUAUCCUUUCAAUUCUUCCAUCAAGCAACACAAGUAGCUGUGAGUAGCUGACUCUAUUAAGUCUACUGGUACCUCAUGGAGCUUAUGU
Long non-coding RNA from Hyaena hyaena (striped hyena), 376 nucleotides. RefSeq lists it as uncharacterized. The record is from RefSeq and is a predicted model, not a curated record. NCBI's taxonomy places the organism in Eukaryota, Metazoa, Chordata, Mammalia, Carnivora, Hyaenidae. The transcript has 3 exons.